GAUGAACGCUGGCGGCGUGCCUAACACAUGCAAGUCGAACGGAGAUUACGGACGGAAGUUUUCGGAUGGAAGCCUGUAAUUCUUAGUGGCGGACGGGUGAGUAACGCGUGGGCAACCUGCCCUAUACAGGGGGAUAGCAGCUGGAAACGGCUGGUAAGACCGCAUAAGUCGGUUAAAUCGCAUGAUUUGAUCGGGAAAUGAGCAAUCAGGUAUAGCAUGGGCCCGCGGCCGAUUAGCCAGUUGGCAGGGUAAAAGCCUACCAAAGCGACGAUCGGUAGCCGGACUGAGAGGUCGGACGGCCACAUUGGGACUGAGACACGGCCCAAACUCCUACGGGAGGCAGCAGUGGGGGAUAUUGCACAAUGGAGGAAACUCUGAUGCAGCGACGCCGCGUGAGUGAAGAAGUAUUUCGGUAUGUAAAGCUCUAUCAGCAGGGAAGAUGAUGACGGUACCUGACUAAGAAGCCCCGGCUAACUACGUG
RNAcentral lists this ribosomal RNA (481 nucleotides) under uncultured bacterium. RNAcentral describes it as "partial 16S ribosomal RNA". It matches the Rfam family "Bacterial small subunit ribosomal RNA", at positions 28 to 507 of the family's 1533-position model. The record is from RNAcentral.